AGGUGGGAGGAUUGCUUGAGCUGGGAGGUUGAGGCUGCAGUGAGCCAAGAUCGCACCACUGCACUCCAGCCUGAGUGACAGAGCAAGACCCUGUCUCA
This 98-nucleotide microRNA precursor is filed under the name Macaca nemestrina (pig-tailed macaque). Its description in RNAcentral is "miRNA (ENSMNEG00000001628.1)". The record is from RNAcentral. Lineage: Eukaryota; Metazoa; Chordata; Mammalia; Primates; Cercopithecidae.